UCAUUUCUAGUUUAUAGGGUAGAAUACUAGUUUGUCAUAUUAGAGGAGACUUGUGUCGAAGUGGG
Molecule: transfer RNA, 65 nt
Filed under: Paramphistomum cervi
Lineage: Eukaryota; Metazoa; Platyhelminthes; Trematoda; Plagiorchiida; Paramphistomidae
Description: tRNA-Asp
Source: RNAcentral